AUUGAACGCUGGCGGCAGGCCUAACACAUGCAAGUCGAACGGUAGCACAGAGAGCUUGCUCUCGGGUGACGAGUGGCGGACGGGUGAGUAAUGUCUGGGAGACUGCCCGAUGGAGGGGGAUAACUACUGGAAACGGUAGCUAAUACCGCAUAACGUCGCAAGACCAAAGUGGGGGUCCUUCGGGCCUCACACCAUCGGAUGUGCCCAGAUGGGAUUAGCUAGUAGGUGGGGUAAUGGCUCACCUAGGCGACGAUCCCUAGCUGGUCUGAGAGGAUGACCAGCCACACUGGAACUGAGACACGGUCCAGACUCCUACGGGAGGCAGCAGUGGGGAAUAUUGCACAAUGGGCGCAAGCCUGAUGCAGCCAUGCUGCGUGUAUGAAGAAGGCCUUCGGGUUGUAAAGUACUUUCAGCGGGGAGGAAGGCGGUGAAGUUAAUAACUUCACCGAUUGACGUUACCCGCAGAAGAAGCACCGGCUAACUCUGUGCCAGCAGCCGCCGUAA
RNAcentral lists this ribosomal RNA (504 nucleotides) under uncultured bacterium. RNAcentral's name for it is "partial 16S ribosomal RNA". It matches the Rfam family "Bacterial small subunit ribosomal RNA", at positions 30 to 523 of the family's 1533-position model. The record is from RNAcentral.